CUAUAUUUUCUUUUCUGAUAAACCCUCUGCAGGUUAAGGAAAGACUUGAAAGGGCUUUUCGUGGUUCACCCAGCCUGGUACGUGAGAGCGUUAAUCACCGUCAUCAAACCCUUCAUCAGUGAGAAAUUCAGCAGGAAGAUGCGCUUCAUCCACAGCUUGCAGGAACUGGCAGAGUUUGUUCCUGUGGCCCAGCUGCAAAUCCCAGACUGCAUCAGACAGUAUGAUGAGCAGAUGAACAGGUGAAGGUGUCUGAUGGACAGACUUCACACUGGACUGGGGUGACAUGCAUGUGACUGGGGUUAAAGGUCAAGCUUUAGGGCAAAUGCCCUAAUGACAGAAAAAUGGCUUCCUACCAGACGACUCUUUGAUGAAAUACAAAAAGACAGUGUUGUGCUUCAGAGAGACAGAGCUGUGGUCAUGCCGUAAGGUGGGUCAGGAUAGUUCUGUGAGCAACAUGAAAGCCUGUUUGACGUCAUUGCAUUUAAACUGUUACACAAAAACAGACAACCUUGUCAUGUUUCCCAGACUGUAGAAAAUGACAUUCAUUAAUACCAAUUACUUUUCAUAAAACCUAUUAGAUUUAGGCAUGAGAAAUACCAAAUACUUCUUUUGAAACAUUUCCUUUUGGACUUACAGUGAACAUACCCAAAUUAGGAUAAAUAUUAGUUUUAAUAUUUGCACUAAAUGGUUACAAAAUCUUGUUGCAUGUUAUCUGAAACCUGUAUGAACCAUCAUAUGUAUAUGGUUCAAACUCUUCAAACUACUAUCUGGCUGUUUUUAUAAGUCUUGUAAAGUGGUAUUGACUCUAUUUUAUUCAAAUUGUUUUUAUCUAUUCUGUAAAAUGCAUUGUACUUGAGCAUUUAAUCACGUGUGAAUGUUUUUAGCACAAAUGCAGCAAUGCUCAAACUUGAUGCAAAAUCAGAAAGCUAUUACAAACAAAGUGUGUAAUAUUGCUGUAAGAAGCCGCAUUGUUCAGUUUAAACUUGUUGCAAAUAUAAUCGUGCUUGGUUUCCUUCUGGAAUAUGGUUGGGAAAUGUUCUCUAAUGAUCAGCUGCUGCUGCCUGUAAAGUGGCCCAUUGAAUGUGCUUUCAUUUAAUAGACUCCUAUGUGCAAAUAUUUAUACAAGGCCACACCUGAACAACCUGAGCUUUCAAACUGCACAUACUACAUGUAUGUCUUGUCUAUGAUAUUUAAGGAAAUAAAGGGUUACAUUAAAACA
Molecule: long non-coding RNA, 1219 nt
Organism: Sinocyclocheilus rhinocerous
Lineage: Eukaryota; Metazoa; Chordata; Actinopteri; Cypriniformes; Cyprinidae
Exons: 3
Source: RefSeq, a predicted model, not a curated record